This 936-nucleotide long non-coding RNA is filed under the name Malus domestica (apple). RNAcentral describes it as "long non-coding RNA (MDOM_LNC003471)". Lineage: Eukaryota; Viridiplantae; Streptophyta; Magnoliopsida; Rosales; Rosaceae. The record is from RNAcentral.
CUUUACUCACAUUCGAAAACACUCCCAAUAAGAUUGCUUGCUCCAAAAUCGAAGAGGCACCCUCCUCCGAAUCUCGAGAGCCAGACUCCCAACAUGACUACUUUCUCUCAAAAAUCGAAUCGAGAGAAGGUAAAGGAACAGUACCAUUGCUGGAUAAUUGGAAAGUCCCUGUGUGUCAACCUCUGUGCUUCGUGGCAAGGUAGACUAGCAAACAUGCCCAACCUUUACUCACAUUCGAGAAAACACUCCCAACAAGAUUGCUUGCUCCAAAAUCGAAGAGGCACCGCCCUCCGAAUCUCGAGAGCCAGACUCCCAACAUGAUUACUUUCUCAAAAAUCGAAGAGACACUGCUCCCCGAAUCUCGAGAGCCAGACCCCCAGCAUGAUUGCUUUCUCAAAAAUCGAAGAGGCAUCGUUCUCCGAAUCAAUCGAAGAGGCGCUCGCUUUCUCAAAAGCUGGGCUGCUCAGAGACCACGAGGGCCGAUCUCAGAAAUCGAAGAGGCACCUUCUUUUCUAGCCUUGUCAGCACCUGUCACACGCACACUCAGCUUUGCGGAAAUUAUGGGCAUUCUGUCGAAGACUUCUGGUGAAGUAGAAAGCACAUGAAUCUUACUGUUCAAUCACCCACUUCCCACACGCAACAAUAGCUCAUGGGUACCACAGAUAACUUUGUCAAAGUCUCUGCCAAAGUUGAGCACGUGAAGCUUGCAGCUCCCACUACAUCGCUCUGACCAAGAAAGGUAAAAGAAUAGCAAAGAAACAGCACUAACAAAGUUUAGACACAUAAAUUUUGAAGGUCUAGCUACCAUAUUAUUACCCACAAGGGUAAAGGAACAGUACCACUGCUGGAUAAUUGGAAAGUCCCUGUGUGUCAACCUCCGUGCUUCGUGGCAAGGUAGGCUAGCAAACAUGCCCAACCUUUACUCACAUCCGAGAA